UACCAGCACCCCGAGUGGGCGGGACGAUUAUUGGGCCUAAAGCAUCCGUAGCCGGUUCUACAAGUCUUCCGUUAAAUCCACCUGCUUAACAGAUGGGCUGCGGAGGAUACUAUAGAGCUAGGAGGCGGGAGAGGCAAGCGGUACUUAGUGGGUAGGGGUAAAAUCCGUUGAUCCAUUGAAGACCACCAGUGGCGAAGGCGGCUUGCCAGAACGCACUCGACGGUGAGGGAUGAAAGCUGGGGGAGCAAACCGG
Molecule: ribosomal RNA, 253 nt
Filed under: uncultured bacterium
Lineage: Bacteria
Description: partial 16S ribosomal RNA
Rfam family: Archaeal small subunit ribosomal RNA
Source: RNAcentral